CCUACGGGAGGCUGCAGUGGGGAAUAUUGCACAAUGGGCGCAAGCCUGAUGCAGCCAUGCCGCGUGUGUGAAGAAGGCCUUCGGGUUGUAAAGCACUUUCGGCGGGGAGGAAGGCGGCGAGGUUAAUAACCUCAUCGAUUGACGUUACCCGCAGAAGAAGCACCGGCUAACUCCGUGCCAGCAGCCGCGGUAAUACGGAGGGUGCAAGCGUUAAUCGGAAUUACUGGGCGUAAAGCGCACGCAGGCGGUCUGUCAAGUCGGAUGUGAAAUCCCCGGGCUCAACCUGGGAACUGCAUUCGAAACUGGCAGGCUAGAGUCUUGUAGAGGGGGGUAGAAUUCCAGGUGUAGCGGUGAAAUGCGUAGAGAUCUGGAGGAAUACCGGUGGCGAAGGCGGCCCCCUGGACAAAGACUGACGCGCAGGUGCGAAAGCGUGGGGAGCAAACAGGAUUAGAUACCCGGGUAGUC
Molecule: ribosomal RNA, 465 nt
Filed under: uncultured Klebsiella sp.
Lineage: Bacteria; Pseudomonadati; Pseudomonadota; Gammaproteobacteria; Enterobacterales; Enterobacteriaceae
Description: bacterial SSU rRNA
Rfam family: Bacterial small subunit ribosomal RNA
Source: RNAcentral